AGGGUUCGAUUCUGGCUCAGGAUGAACGCUAGCUACAGGCUUAACACAUGCAAGUCGAGGGGCAGCAUUGGAGUAGCAAUACUCAGAUGGCGACCGGCGCACGGGUGAGUAACACGUAUCCAACCUGCCGCUUACUCGGGGAUAGCCUUUCGAAAGAAAGAUUAAUACCCGAUGGUAUAAAGAGUUCGCAUGUUCUCUUUAUUAAAGAAUUUCGGUAAGCGAUGGGGAUGCGUUCCAUUAGAUAGUUGGCGGGGUAACGGCCCACCAAGUCUACGAUGGAUAGGGGUUCUGAGAGGAAGGUCCCCCACAUUGGAACUGAGACACGGUCCAAACUCCUACGGGAGGCAGCAGUGAGGAAUAUUGGUCAAUGGACGAGAGUCUGAACCAGCCAAAAGUAGCGUGAAGGAUGACUGCCCUAUGGGUUGUAAACUUCUUUUAUAAGGGAAUAAAGUGAGGGACGUGUCCCUUUUUGUAUGUACCUUAUGAAUAAGGAUCGGCUAACUCCGUGCCAGCCGCAGC
RNAcentral lists this ribosomal RNA (519 nucleotides) under uncultured bacterium. RNAcentral's name for it is "bacterial SSU rRNA". It matches the Rfam family "Bacterial small subunit ribosomal RNA", at positions 8 to 518 of the family's 1533-position model. The record is from RNAcentral.